This is a small nucleolar RNA of 198 nucleotides. It matches the Rfam family "Small nucleolar RNA snR43".
CACUCCUAUUUCUGCCCCACAUUCCUUGCACUACCAUGGAAUAAUGGGUUCUAUUCAUGGAGAAGAUAAAGCCCGCAAAUGAGAGCUCCACACUUUUGAUACAACCGUGGUGCCCUUCCAUUUUUGGGAUCGUGAGGAUGCUUCGAACAACCAUUAUGUUUUUCUCAUAAUUAGUGGAUUCGAUGCUUCUCUACAAAU